Molecule: small RNA, 741 nt
Filed under: Histoplasma capsulatum var. duboisii H88
Lineage: Eukaryota; Fungi; Ascomycota; Eurotiomycetes; Onygenales; Ajellomycetaceae
Description: Histoplasma capsulatum H88 hypothetical RNA
Source: RNAcentral
GGCUGCUCGUCGAAGCUUAUUGUUAUUAUUGUUUCUUGCAGAUUUUAUUCUCGCGGAAAUGAAUAAAAAUGAAUGAUCCACAUUUAUCUCAUAAAGCCACAAAAACGAGGCGACGGGGAGAUAAAAAUGCCUGCCCGAUCUGUCACUUUCUCGACUUAUGAACCUUACUUACUUCACUGAUAGGACUAACGCUAUGAUCCCAAUAAUAAAAAAAGAAAGAAAAAGAAAAGAGAGAGAAAGACUAUGGUUAUUAGCUGAAUCUGCGCCACUGAUAUGAGCUCAUCACCAGUUAUCAAUGAGAUGAGCCAUUGAUCUCCGUACCGCUACUGGCUUCCGAGCUUCAGUUUCUAUCAGGUUCGCUCCUACAAAUCUAGCCAAUAUCGCCAUCCAGUUCGCAUCCAAAUGUGAGAUAGGGUGUUUUACUUUUCGACUUCACUCUUUGGCCCUAGGCGCACAUACAUAGUGAACUCAAAAAAGUUAGUUACAUGCAUUUGCGAUAAACUGUAUGUGGCUCCGUACACCUGCACGGACGUGAUUACCAGACGGACCAGAUCUUGCCUAAUCCUCAAUAGGGAACGCAAAUAUAUCGAAAUCUUCUGUUGCUCCGUAUCGUGCAUUUUCUUCAAUAAAAAUUGGAGGAGUGUGUGAUUGACAACACAACAUCACUGGACUUUCCAUAGCGCUGACACUAAGAAUUUCUCAUUCCCAACUAGAUGAUUGAAACGCAUUGGCGUGGGCGGA